ACAAACUGUUCAGAGCACACAAGCCAUGCUGAUUGCAGGCACACAGCAGACCCAGCCAGGGUCACCUGGGACCCUAAUGGCAGCAGAACAGGGGGGCAGCAUGGAAGUGAUCGUGCUGGCUUGGCAGAGCCAAAAUGUUCACUGAUCAGCUCGAGAGAUCUGGAGUUGCUUAUUCUGCCUCCAAAAUUCAUUUCCAGUGGCCAGGCCACCUCCCUGACCUAUAUUCCUCAGACUGCCAUUACGUCAGAGCCUGCCUAUUUGGGGCUAUAAGUGAAAUCCUCUGUCUUCUAGGUGAAAUCCACAGACUUGCCCUGAUCUUGUUGUGACAAGGCCAAGUCCCAUUCAAUUCAAGAGGAAAGUAUCAAUACGAGGGUGAAAACCCUGGUAUUAAUUAAGCUCUGAGCAGUAGUUUCAGGCCGGUGCUGCUGCCUUUAUUUCUUGCAUGUACAGUGCUCCAACCAACACCACUCGUUCGUGGGGCAAUCCCAGUUUUGGUUUAAAAAAGGUACAUAUUCUAAAAAAUGUUUGCUGGACAGCAAAGAACCGGGUUCCAGUUUUGAACUGUGCUCCAGUAAUACCAGAAGUCACAGGGAGAUCAGCCUGACAAAUUGUGUCGUGGUACCACAGGGUGGACUGGCAAAAUCUGCUAUUGCAACUAUUUUCUUGUGAAAAGUAAGGUAUGUUUCUGCUGAACUAUCUGAGGUACCUAAAUAAAUUUGAGCUUUUAAUUUUUACAUCCAAAAUGUCCAAAUAUUUAAGCUGAAACAGUUUGAUUGUAAUAGAGUUCCUUUUUCAUGCUGCCCCAUCUGAGUAUUGUGAGCCGCAGCAGGUUUUAAUUUAAUGUAAUUGCAGACGUCUAUAAUUUGCAAGUAUUAUUGGAAUAUCAAUAAUGUUUGUUUGGGUUUUUUUUUUGACCAAGUGCUCAGGCAAUAUGUCAUGUCAGCACAUCCUAAAAUGUAUAAACUGGGUUAUGAAAUGCCUGGUAGCUAUUUAACUGGGUAUUUCAGGUGCAGAAACUGAGGCCCAUUGCACAGAAUUAUUUGCCCAUUGUUCUUAAUGCAACAUCUUGUGGACUCCAUAUGUAACUGGAUCCCAGCCUGACGGGAUGUUUCUGAAGUGGGACAAGUCCAACCACCUCACACUCCCCUUCACUGCAGCCUUACUUUUGCUAAGGAAGAAACAAACAGAUUUCUGUUCAUCUCACAUUAAGGACCAAUAUUAAAGUGGAUAUGACACCUUUCAGCCCAGCUUUUUCAGCUGGAGAGUUCUCAGAGAUAAGCUAUCAGAUAACUUGUCUGAACAUAAGGGUGUUUCUCUCGAGGCUGACAGAAAUCCAGGGUUUCUGAUUCUUCAGAAACCUAAAGAAACUUUCUUUCCUUUUUAACUUCAGGUAAAGCAGCAGCUCUUGGAUUUGGCAGCUGCUCAGUUUCCCUUCUGUAGCAAUCCCACGAGGCUGCACUUCAGAGCCUUUCUGCCUCUGAGGGAAAGGUUAAUGCACUCCUGGUGCCCUGACAGCCCUUGGCUCCUUGCUCCAUCCCUGCACAGCAGUGGGACAGCCUUUCACCAGCGUUGUCCCUGGGGAUUUUGUAGCUGCACUACGGGCUGGGUGAUGGGAACUCGCUGCUGAUCCCAGCACACCGUGGAGCUGCAGGGAACUUCCACUCCUUCCCUGCUGGGGCUCAGGAUGCCCACUUUGGGGUCACACACAUCAUCUACUGCUUCCAG
Molecule: long non-coding RNA, 1725 nt
Organism: Hirundo rustica (Barn swallow)
Lineage: Eukaryota; Metazoa; Chordata; Aves; Passeriformes; Hirundinidae
Exons: 4
Source: RefSeq, a predicted model, not a curated record